RNAcentral lists this ribosomal RNA (304 nucleotides) under Parabathynellidae sp. (Pilbara) 23 EM-2019. RNAcentral's name for it is "partial small subunit ribosomal RNA". Lineage: Eukaryota; Metazoa; Arthropoda; Malacostraca; Bathynellacea; Parabathynellidae. The record is from RNAcentral.
ACAUUAUUUAUUUCUUUAUUCAUUUUUUUAUUCAAAACUAUUACUAUUAAAUCUUUAUUUGUAAAAUUUUCAUUUGUAUCACUAAUAUAUAAUAACUAAUUUAUAAUAACCCAUAUUUUCUUAUUUAUUACUGCACCUUGAUCUAAUUAAUUUUUAAAUAAAUUAUUAAAUUUUUAUUUGUUAAAAUUUAAAUAAAUGACGGUAUACAAAUUAUUUAAAAUAAGUAGAAUAAAUUGUGGAUUAUCAAUUAUAAUACAGGUUCCCCUAACAAGAUAUAAAUAACCGUCAAAUUCUUUAAGUUUCA